GAUCAUGGCUCAGGAUGAACGCUAGCUACAGGCUUAACACAUGCAAGUCGAGGGGCAGCAUGUUGGUUGCUUGUCAACCGAUGAUGGCGACCGGCGCACGGGUGAGUAACGCGUAUCCAACCUACCCUUGUCCAUCGGAUAACCCGUCGAAAAGGCGGCCUAACACGAUAUGCGGUUCACAGCAGGCAUCUAACGUGAACGAAAUGUGAAGGAGAAGGAUGGGGAUGCGU
This 230-nucleotide ribosomal RNA is filed under the name uncultured bacterium. RNAcentral describes it as "partial 16S ribosomal RNA". It matches the Rfam family "Bacterial small subunit ribosomal RNA", at positions 15 to 236 of the family's 1533-position model. The record is from RNAcentral.